RNAcentral lists this ribosomal RNA (253 nucleotides) under uncultured bacterium. RNAcentral's name for it is "partial 16S ribosomal RNA". It matches the Rfam family "Bacterial small subunit ribosomal RNA", at positions 524 to 776 of the family's 1533-position model. The record is from RNAcentral.
UACAGAGGGGGCAAGCGUUGUUCGGAAUUACUGGGCGUAAAGGGCGCGUAGGCGGCCUUCUAAGUCGAACGUGAAAUCCCCGGGCUCAGCCCGGGAACUGCGUCCGAUACUGGAAGGCUUGAAUCCGGGAGAGGGAUGUGGAAUUCCAGGUGUAGCGGUGAAAUGCGUAGAUAUCUGGAGGAACACCGGUGGCGAAGGCGACAUCCUGGACCGGUAUUGACGCUGAGGCGCGAAAGCCAGGGGAGCAAACGGG